CCAAAUUCCUCCCCUAGACAAUGCACCAUUCAACACAUAACAAAUCACAGGAUUGAGUGUUACACUCUUCUCAUCCAAUUCAUUUAAAAGCUUCUCAUAUCCCCAUUUUCAGAGAACUUGAUAUUAAACAAUUUUGAGUUGCAAAGUUGGAAUAAUAUUCUCUCCAAGACCAAUCCCUUCAAGCCAAUCACGAUCAGAUCCUCCGCCACAUAGAGAAACCAUCAAACAAACACUUAUUACCAAACCAAUCAAGAAACUCCUUAUAAGUUGCAAUCUUUUUGAGGAAUCAAAAUGUUUAAUUGACCUUAAUAGCCAACAGAUCAAGAAAAUAUAUGUUAAAACAUUAGGAGAGGGUUUUUACUGCUUUUGUUCCUCAAGAAAUCUCAUUGCAGUAGUACUUUUCAUUUCAUUUUAUAAUACACAUAAAUGUAGUCAAGGGUUAUAGUUGUGCCCAAGGUCCGUGAAAGUAGAACCAGAACUGAGAUCCAUGUCGGCCGGCUGGCAGUAUGAGUCGGUACAGAUCUGUAUCGGACUAGACCAGUGCAAAUCGGCACAAAAGAGAAGAAGGGAAUCGGGGAGGAGAAAAAGAGAUAAAGAGGGGAGGGGAAGGGAGAAAGGAGGAGGGAGGGAGAGGGUGGCCAAAAGAGAUACUGGCAGUGGCCAUAGGCAGGCCAUGGGCAUACUUGGAGGGCCACCAAAGCCUUCGCUUCCUUUGCCAAAUCUCGAUCAAAAGAGAGAGAGAGAGAGAGAGAGAGAGGGAGGGAAAGAAAGGGAAGGAAGGGAAGCUGUCGGAGAGGCUGUCGAAGAGCCUUCAGCUAGCCAUCGUGACCGUCGGAUAGUGUAAUUGCAACCUAUGGUGCUGCGGACAUGAAACAUGAGCGAUCGCCCC
This 889-nucleotide long non-coding RNA is filed under the name Elaeis guineensis (African oil palm). RNAcentral's name for it is "long non-coding RNA (EGUI_LNC046750)". The record is from RNAcentral. Lineage: Eukaryota; Viridiplantae; Streptophyta; Magnoliopsida; Arecales; Arecaceae.